RNAcentral lists this transfer RNA (77 nucleotides) under compost metagenome. RNAcentral describes it as "tRNA-Lys". It matches the Rfam family "tRNA". Rfam says of the family: Transfer RNA (tRNA) molecules are approximately 80 nucleotides in length. Their secondary structure includes four short double-helical elements and three loops (D, anti-codon, and T loops). The record is from RNAcentral.
CGGGGUAUAGCUCAGCUGGUAGCAGCAGCGGACUUUUAAUCCGUAGGUCGCAGGUUCGAAUCCUGCUGCCCCGACCA